GCGGGUGUAGCUCAAUGGUAGAGCAACAGCCUUCCAAGCUGAUGACGGCGGUUCGAUUCCGCUCACCCGCUCCA
This 74-nucleotide transfer RNA is filed under the name Bradyrhizobium sp. RNAcentral describes it as "tRNA-Gly". It matches the Rfam family "tRNA". From Rfam's summary of the family: Transfer RNA (tRNA) molecules are approximately 80 nucleotides in length. Their secondary structure includes four short double-helical elements and three loops (D, anti-codon, and T loops). RNAcentral also lists the same sequence under 3 other names. Lineage: Bacteria; Pseudomonadati; Pseudomonadota; Alphaproteobacteria; Hyphomicrobiales; Nitrobacteraceae. The record is from RNAcentral.